CUAGGAAGCUGGAUGAUAGUACGUUCAGUAAAAUGAAUGUACAGGAAAGUCCAGACAGCACAAAGCAGGGUGGCCAGUGUAAACUGACAGCCGUGAGGUCUAGUUAGAGCAACAGUGACGAACCGAGGUCAAGCUCGGGUGAAACGGGCAAUCCUCCCCGCUGCAAUCCUAGAACGAACCGAACUGCUUGUUCUAUGGUUCAAAUCAGGAGCAGUCGCCGUAAGGCGACGGAAGUGACCAAACAUCACUACCAGAUAGAUUUCAUCUAAAACAGAAUCUGGCUUAUGGGCUUCCUAGGCAC
This 301-nucleotide RNase P RNA is filed under the name Candidatus Daviesbacteria bacterium RIFCSPHIGHO2_01_FULL_41_45. Its description in RNAcentral is "RNase P RNA component class A". It matches the Rfam family "Bacterial RNase P class A". From Rfam's summary of the family: Ribonuclease P (RNase P) is a ubiquitous endoribonuclease, found in archaea, bacteria and eukarya as well as chloroplasts and mitochondria. Its best characterised activity is the generation of mature 5'-ends of tRNAs by cleaving the 5'-leader elements of precursor-tRNAs. Lineage: Bacteria; Candidatus Daviesiibacteriota. RNAcentral also lists the same sequence under 3 other names. The record is from RNAcentral.